CCCACCCCCAUUUUCUUUCUUCUUCACACCCCCACCUCAUCUUGCCCACCCCGCCCCUCUUUACGUCCUCCCCCAACACCAGCUCUCCUCCUCUGUCAAACCCACCCUACCUCCAUUAUUUUCUAAUUUUCCUUCGUUAACCUCCCACCCCACCUUUAAUUUCAAUUUUCCUCCACCCCUAUCCCUCAUUUUUCUUUUUCUUCAAAUCACCCACCCCCGCUCCUGCCCCCUCCAUUUCUUUCUCUUCUUCCAGCCAACCCCCAUCCCAACCUCCAAUUUAUUUUUUCCCUUUUCCUUAAUUAACACCAUUAGAGAACAAUCACAAAAAUAUCAGAUUAAAAUUUUUCCUCCAUUAAACACCAUCUCAACCUUCAAUCAAACUUUCUCAAGUUUUCAACCACCAAAUUCACCCUUGAAGAUGUAAACAUAAAUAAAGAAUAGAGAAGAAACAAUGAACUUUAAAAAUAAAAGUUACGAAAAUUUCUUUCAAUUUUGUUAUUCUUCGAACUGAAUUAAUGAAGCAAUUAGUCUUUAAUUUCUUCGCUGGAGAAUGUAUUAAUGGAGAAAAAUGAAAAAAAAAAAUAGAGGAGAUUGUUGUUGGAGGAUGUGUUUGAGGUUGUUAAUGGAAAAAUUAAUUGUUGUAGAAAAUGAGUGUUGUUGUUUGUUGAUGUAUUGGAGAAUAAAAUGGUGUGGGUGUGGGGUGUAGGUGUGUGGGGUGGGGAUGAGAGGUUAAGGGGGGUGGGGGUAUUGAAGAAGAAAGGAGUAUUUUCUUAUAUAUAUAUAUAUAUAUAUAUAUAUAUAUAUAUGUAAAAUAAGGGGGAAAAAAAGAAAAAAAAUCUGAAACGCGCCNNNNNNNNNNNNNNNNNNNNNNNNNNNNNNNNNNNNNNNNNNNNNNNNNNNNNNNNNNNNNNNNNNNNNNNNNNNNNNNUUAAAACUUUGAAAGUUCAGAAAUAUUUAUUUUUAUUUACUUUUUUUAUAUAUGUAAUUUUCUUUUUUAGCAUUGAAUACACGUGCAACACACGUAUACUAAACUAGUAUGUAAAAUAAGUGGGAAAAGAAGAAGAAAAAUCUGAAACGCGCCCUUUUUUUUCUCUAAAUGCCACGUCAGCAUUAGAGGGGAAAAUAAUUCACUUUAAAGAUGUUAAGAGGGUAAAUAAACGAAAGUUAAGUUUAAGUGCUAAAGUGAGUUUGGAGGACAAGUUCAGGAGGGAUUUUUCUCAUAUAUAUACAUACAUCUAUAUACAUAUGUUUAUGCAUUUGAUUAUAUAUAGACUUAAGUCAUUGAAGGGGAGCCUUGGAGUAACUGGUAAAGUUGCUGCCAUGUGACCAAGAGGUUACGGGUUCAAGCCUUGGAAACAGCCUCUGCAGAAAUGUAAGGUAAGGCUGCGUACGAUACACCCUUGUGGUGGGGCCCUUCUCCGGACACCGCGCAUAGCGGUAGCUUUAGUGCACUGGGCUGCCCCUAUAAACUUAAGUCAUCGACAUACUCUCAAACUUGUUUCGAAAAUUUACUUAGGCUCCUCAACUAAGGCCUGUACCUAUCAGGCCCCUAACCUUCCCGAAUUUUGAUUCAAUCAAGCAUUUUUUGCCUAAUCAGCAAUAGGCAUAGAGUGUGUGUAAUACGCUCGCCUGACAUGGCAAAAUUAACCAAUUAAAAAAAACACGUGGCAAAAAAAAAUUAUACGUGGAAUUUCUGAUUUUUUCUAUUUUUCUAUUUAAUUAUCUAUUUAAUAAUAAUUUUUUAAUUAAAAAAAAGAAAAAAACACCCCUACCCUCCAAUAGUCAUCGCCAGAUACCUAUAUUAAAUUUACAUAUGUUUAUGCAUUUGUACAUACAUGUAUAUACAUAUAUAUAUAUAUGUAUAUACAUAGGCUUAAGUCAUCGGAAGACACUUAAAGUUGUCCUGAAAAUUCACUUAGACCCCUCAACUAAGGCUUGUACCGAUCAAACACCUCAAGUGCUAAAAUUGAUAUCUAUCAGGCACAAAAUACUGAUUUGGCAAGGAGAAUGUGUUAAACUCUCCUUGGGCACGUGAAUAGUAGUUAGAAUAAUAUUUUACUUUUUUUUAAUUAAAAAAUUUAUAUUUAAAUUAUUUUAUUAAUAUAAUUUUUAAUUAUCCUAAUAUUUUAAUUUUUUUUUUAAAAAAAGGAAAAGCCCCUCCCCCUAAGUCAUCAUCUUCUUCAUAACCCCCCAUUCCUCAUUGUCUUCAACCCCCCACCCUCCCCGUAGCCGUCGCAACUUUCCCCACUCCUUUAGCCGUCUUUUUUUCCAUUUAAUGUUUUCAAAUCCGUUGCCGGAACCCAUAAACCAUUGCCGAAAAUUAGAGAAUAAUCAACAACAACAACAAAUCCAGUGUAUUCCCACCAAGGGGGGUCUGGAGAGGGUAGAGUGUACGCAGUCCAUACCGCUACCUCCAGAGAAGUAGAGAGGCUGUUUCCGAUAGACCCCCGGCUCAAGAUAAAGAAAAGUAGACCAAAGCGUAAUUAAAUAAGAAGCAAGAUGGAUGACAUAACAUGACAAGGAAUAAGAC
This 2530-nucleotide long non-coding RNA is filed under the name Capsicum annuum. RNAcentral's name for it is "long non-coding RNA (CANN_LNC004944)". Lineage: Eukaryota; Viridiplantae; Streptophyta; Magnoliopsida; Solanales; Solanaceae. The record is from RNAcentral.